GACGAACGCUGGCGGCGUGCUUAACACAUGCAAGUCGAGCGGGGAGGCUUUUCGGCACCGGCUGCUGAGGCGGGAACGUCACAGGAGCAGGUGCUGGAAGGACUUCCAGCGGCGGACGGGUGAGUAACGCGUGAACAAUCUGUCCCAGACAGGGGGAUAACAGAUGGAAACAUCUGCUAAUACCGCAUAAGACCACGGAGCCGCAUGGCACUGAGGUAAAAGGAGCAAUCCGGUUUGGGGUGAGUUCGCGUCUGAUUAGCUAGUUGGUGAGGUAACGGCUCACCAAGGCGACGAUCAGUAGCCGACCUGAGAGGGUGAUCGGCCACACUGGAACUGAGACACGGUCCAGACUCCUACGGGAGGCAGCAGUGGGGAAUAUUGGGCAAUGGGCGAAAGCCUGACCCAGCAACGCCGCGUGAAGGAAGAAGGUUUCGGAUUGUAAACUUCUGUCCUCAGGGAAGAAGGAAGUGACGGUACCUGAGGAGGAAGCCCCGGUAACUACG
This 503-nucleotide ribosomal RNA is filed under the name uncultured bacterium. RNAcentral describes it as "bacterial SSU rRNA". It matches the Rfam family "Bacterial small subunit ribosomal RNA", at positions 28 to 505 of the family's 1533-position model. The record is from RNAcentral.